UGAUAUUUAGGCCACGAUUCAUUUAAUUUUCCAUAUAGUUUUUCCGAGGUUCCACUAUAAACACCAAAAUCUAUUUAUAGGACUUUCUAGUUGUGUAUCAUCAACCUCCAACUACACUCACUUUUUUACUGCAUUCCUUUUCUUUUUUUUUUCUUUAGUUAGUGAGAGGAUUUGAGGAUUGAAUUUGAAUUCCUAAUCAUGCGCUCUUGUUAAAAGCGAAGAUUUUUUAAAUUAUGUCAUAGAGCUUGUGAGUUGUGAUAUUUUAAAAAAAGUUUAUUGUCAAACAAUACAACGUUUACUUGAAUUUGCUUGUUUCACAUCUAAGUAUAUGUUGAAAAUUUGUAAUCACAACAUCGCUUUUUGAUUCUAC
Molecule: long non-coding RNA, 370 nt
Filed under: Salvia miltiorrhiza (redroot sage)
Lineage: Eukaryota; Viridiplantae; Streptophyta; Magnoliopsida; Lamiales; Lamiaceae
Description: long non-coding RNA (SMIL_LNC012279)
Source: RNAcentral